GACGAACGCUGGCGGCGUGCUUAACACAUGCAAGUCGAACGGAAAGGCCCUGCUUUUGUGGGGUGCUCGAGUGGCGAACGGGUGAGUAACACGUGAGUAACCUGCCCUUGACUUUGGGAUAACUUCAGGAAACUGGGGCUAAUACCGGAUAGGAGCUCCUGCUGCAUGGUGGGGGUUGGAAAGUCUCGGCGGUUGGGGAUGGACUCGCGGCUUAUCAGCUUGUUGGUGGGGUAGUGGCUUACCAAGGCUUUGACGGGUAGCCGGCCUGAGAGGGUGACCGGCCACAAUGGGACUGAGAUACGGCCCAGACUCCUACGGGAGGCAGCAGUGGGGAAUAUUGCACAAUGGGCGGAAGCCUGAUGCAGCAACGCCGCGUGCGGGAUGACGGCCUUCGGGUUGUAAACCGCUUUCGCCUGUGACGAAGCGUGAGUGACGGUAAUGGGUAAAGAAGCACCGGCUAACUACGUG
RNAcentral lists this ribosomal RNA (468 nucleotides) under uncultured bacterium. RNAcentral's name for it is "partial 16S ribosomal RNA". It matches the Rfam family "Bacterial small subunit ribosomal RNA", at positions 28 to 507 of the family's 1533-position model. The record is from RNAcentral.